UACGGAGGGUGCAAGCAUUAAUCGGAUUUAUUGGGCGUAAAGGGCGCGUAGGCGGGUUUGUAAGUCAGAUGUGAAAUUCCGAAGCUCAACUUCGGAGCUGCAUUUGAAACUGCAAGUCUUGAGGAUUGGCGGAGAAAAUGGAAUUCCACGUGUAGCGGUGAAAUGCGUAGAUAUGUGGAAGAACACCAGUGGCGAAAGCGGUUUUCUAGCUUAUUCCUGACGCUGAGGCGCGAGAGCAAGGGGAGCAAAC
Molecule: ribosomal RNA, 250 nt
Filed under: uncultured bacterium
Lineage: Bacteria
Description: partial 16S ribosomal RNA
Rfam family: Bacterial small subunit ribosomal RNA
Source: RNAcentral